RNAcentral lists this ribosomal RNA (500 nucleotides) under uncultured bacterium. Its description in RNAcentral is "partial 16S ribosomal RNA". It matches the Rfam family "Bacterial small subunit ribosomal RNA", at positions 30 to 523 of the family's 1533-position model. The record is from RNAcentral.
AUUGAACGCUGGCGGAAUGCUUUACACAUGCAAGUCGAACGGCAGCACGGACUUCGGUCUGGUGGCGAGUGGCGAACGGGUGAGUAAUGUAUCGGAACGUGCCCAGUCGUGGGGGAUAACGUAGUGAAAAUUACGCUAAUACCGCAUACGAUCUAUGGAUGAAAGCGGGGGAUCGCAAGACCUCGCGCUAUUGGAGCGGCCGAUAUCAGAUGAGGUAGUUGGUGGGGUAAAGGCCCACCAAGCCAACGAUCUGUAGCUGGUCUGAAAGGACUACCAGCCACCAUGGAACGUAGACCCGGCCCAGACUCCUACGGGAAGCAACAGUGGGGAAGUUUUGACAAUGGGCGAAAGCCUGAUUCAGCCAUUCCGCGUGCAGGAUGAAGGCCCUCGGGUUUUAAACUGCUUUUGUACAGAACGAAAAGGUUUCUACUAAUACUAGGAGCUCAUGACGGUACUGUAAGAAUAAGCACCGGCUAACUACGUGCCAGCCGCCGCGGUAA